RNAcentral lists this ribosomal RNA (492 nucleotides) under uncultured bacterium. Its description in RNAcentral is "partial 16S ribosomal RNA". It matches the Rfam family "Bacterial small subunit ribosomal RNA", at positions 30 to 507 of the family's 1533-position model. The record is from RNAcentral.
AUUGAACGCUGGCGGCAUGCUUUACACAUGCAAGUCGAACGGUAACAGGCCUUCGGGUGCUGACGAGUGGCGAACGGGUGAGUAAUGCAUCGGAACGUACCCAGAGGUGGGGGAUAACGCAGCGAAAGCUGUGCUAAUACCGCAUGUGAUCUGAGGAUGAAAGCGGGGGACCGAGCAGCAAUGUUUGGCCUCGCGCCUUUGGAGCGGCCGAUGUCGGAUUAGCUAGUUGGUGGGGUAAAGGCCUACCAAGGCGACGAUCCGUAGCUGGUCUGAGAGGACGACCAGCCACACUGGGACUGAGACACGGCCCAGACUCCUACGGGAGGCAGCAGUGGGGAAUUUUGGACAAUGGGCGCAAGCCUGAUCCAGCAAUGCUGCGUGCGGGAAGAAGGCCUUCGGGUUGUAAACCGCUUUUGGCAGGAACGAAACGGUGUCCGCUAAUACCGGGCGCUAAUGACGGUACCUGCAGAAUAAGCACCGGCUAACUACGUG